Mercenaria mercenaria is the source of this 3777-nucleotide long non-coding RNA. RefSeq lists it as uncharacterized. The transcript has 7 exons. NCBI's taxonomy places the organism in Eukaryota, Metazoa, Mollusca, Bivalvia, Venerida, Veneridae. The record is from RefSeq and is a predicted model, not a curated record.
CCAAACAUAUGUAAAAGUCUCUACUGAUUGGUCUAAGUCAGGCAGUGACCUUUCCAUAUAUAGAUAAGGUCAUGUAUAUGCCAUUUUGGAAAGAUGUUUUAAUCAGGUUUGUUAGAAACAUUGCAAACUUGAAGAAGAAAACAAUGUGUCAAUUCUUUUAAUAUAAAGGAUUAUCUCAACAUUCAACUUUUUGAGAAAAGUCAUAAACGGAAACGGAAGUACAGUCCAUAAAAUAAACAAACGUGUUUGUAAACAUGGACGGAUCCAAACGGAAGGGGAAGAAGCAUUUCAUAGAAAUAUUUUGAUGGCAAAAUACAGUAUAUAUCCGUAGCCCUGACCAACCUAUAAACCGGGCCAGUCUAUUUUGUAGUAAGUGCAAAAACACGGCUGACCCAUUAAACGAGCUGUAGUUACUCAAGUUUAACAAUUGGAAUAUCAUUAUAUUCCAAAUCUUAUUUACAAACAGUUACGAGAAAUGAUAUUAUCUGGUUUCCCAAUGAAUAAGUUGCGUGUUUAAGUGCAGAAAAUCAGUGAAUUUGAAAUAAAGGAUACUGGUAUCGGAAUUCUUGCACAAAUAUAUAAAGGAGAAUUAUUAUAUAUACACAUCAAUGCAGUGUCAUUCACAAGUGUCUGAUCAGACAGCAGGAAUAAAGCAAAUACUGGGACGAUCGCAAUAAUCUUCACGUAUAGUGUGCGAACAACAUACAACUGUGCGGUCCAUUUAAAAACAAGCGGCAAACUCGUCGAAAAUUGGAAAAGUUUUCGCAUAUAUUGAUCAAGGCAAGACACAAGCAACGACUAGAACGAGGAGUCCAAAACUCUGACUGAAAGUGUUUUUGUAAAGUUGGUUAAUGUACACGACAGGCUCUGCAGAUUAGUUCGUGUGAGUGCAUUGGAGACUAGAAGAGAAACACAGAGGCUAAACUUGUCCUUCAUCGUCCCUGUAGAAAGUGUCUGUGCGGAAUACACGAGGUUCUUCUGGGACACCAGAAGAACUCUUUGGCGAGGAGGAAAACCACGGGUUCCACUUCGAGCAUUGUUUUAGGCAUGGACGAGCACCUGGGUAGAACCAUAGACCUUCUGAAUACAUGUCUGUGCGGAAGGAUUAAAGAAGUACUCCGGACAAGAAGGCCUUGAUAGAUGUGUAUAAAAAUGAUGACAGUAAUUGUGUAAACAUUGAAGUAUAGCUAAAAAGUUCAUUGUUGAUGACAGUUGUUUUCUAGUCUUGAUUGACUUGAAUAGUGUUAAACUUUAGAAAUACACAGAGCUGUCAUUGCUGUAAGUUUGUUUCAUGACCAAAAAUGCUUGUUCUACUAUACAGCAAAGAAGGGCCGACACCAUUGCAUGUCUACCAGACUUUUGUAGAAUCAUACUGUAAUCAGUUACAGUCACUCUUUUGCGAAGUUUAUGUUUGAUAUUUACAUUUUGUCGAACACCACGAGAACGAGCUUUGCGUCUUUUUAGUACAGAGAGAGAACAUAUCAAUUCCUGAAUCUUUUGAAAUAAUUUCCUCUUGAUAGAUGUUAUCAUUUAAACCUAAGGGAAAGGGUGUUUGAAGAAAUUUAAUAAAUUCUAAGUUCAAGAGGUUUACUUCGUAUAUAAAAAAGUAGUUUGUUUAGUGUAACAGACUCUACCUAGCUUAACCCCCUACCUCAGUUUUUUUCCAGUUCUAUAGCAAAAUAUUCAAAAGUUGGCCGAAAAGGGAUAAAUUCCAAUGGACACUUUACUCAUUACAAAAUCUUAUUUUUAGCUCGCCUGCAGCUGAGCACGAAGUGCUUAAGGUGAGCUAUUGUGACCGGUCACUGUCCGGCGUCCGUCGGCGUCCUUCGUGCGUUGUCCGUCAACAUUUGCCUCGUGAACACUCUAGAGGCCACAGUUGUGACCCAAUCGUUAUGAAACUUGUUCAGAAUGUUUUUUCUUGAUGAUCUCUCGGUCAAGUUCGAAAUUGGGUCAUAUGGGGUCAAAAACUAGGUCAGCAGGCCAGAUCAAAGGAAAAGUUUAUGAACAUUCUCGAGGUCACAGUUGUGACUCAGUCUUGAUGAAACUUAGUCAGAAUGUUUGUCUUGAUGAUCUCUAUGUCAAGUUUGAAUCUGGGUCAUGUGGGGUCACCCGGUCAAAUCAAUGGAAAAGCUUGUGAACACUCUAGAGGCAACAGUUGUAACUCAAUCUUCAUGAAACUUAACCAGAAUGUUUGUCUUGAUGAUCUCUAGGUCAAGUUCGAAACAGGGUCAUAUGGGGUCAAAAACUAGGUCACAAGGCCAGAUCAAAGGAAAAUCUUGUUACCAUUCUAGAGACCACAAUUUAAGUUUGAAACUCGUGAGAAUUGGUCAGAAUAUUUGUCUUGAUGACUUCUAGGUCAAAUUCGAAUCUGGAUCAUGUGGAGUCAAAAACUAGGUCACCCGGUCAAAUCAAGGGAAGCUUCUGAACACUCUCGAGGCCACAGUUGUGACUCAAUCUUUAUGAAACUUGAUCAGAAUGUUUGUUUUGAUUAUAUCAAGGUCAAGUUUGAAACUGGAUCAUGUUAGGUCAGAAUGUCUGACUUGAUGACCUCUAGAUCAUGUUUGAAUCUGGGUCAUUUGGGUCAAAAACUAGGUCAUCCGGUCAAAUCAAAGGAAAAGCUUGACAACACUCUAGAGGCCAUGUUUAUGACCCUAUCUUAUUGAUACUUGGUGAAAAUGUUUAUCUUUCCGAAUCUGAGUCAUCUAGGGUCAAAAACUAGGUCACCUGUUAAAAUCAAAGAAAAGCCUUGUGUAUGCAAUAGGGGUUGCAUUUUUCAUUUGAUGUGCAUGAACCCUUGCCAGAAUGUUUGUCUGCAUAAAAUCUCGAAAGAAGUUUUAUCUGGGUCAUGUGGGGGUCAAAAACUAGGUCACUAGGCCAGAUCAAAGGAAAAUCUUGUUACCAUUCUAAAAACCACAAUUUAAGUUUGAAACUCAUAAGAAUCGGUCAGAAUAUUUGUCUUGAUGACCUCUAGGUCAAAGUCGAAUCUGGGUCAAAUGGGGUCAAAAACUAGGUCACCCGGUCAAAUCAAAGGAAAAGCUUCUAUACACUCUAGAGGCCACUCUUUGCUCCAAUCUUCCCGAAUCUUUGUUAGAAUGUUUGUUUUCAUAAAAUCUUGGACAAUGGCUUAUCUCGGCCAUGUUGGGUCACAAACUAGGUCACUAGGCCAGAUCAAAGAAAAUGCUUGUUUACACUCAAGAGGCCACAUUUUGGUCCAAUCUUAAUGAAAGUUGGUCAGAAUAUUUGUCUCCAUGAAAUCACUAGGUCGAACAUGUUUACACUGUUAUGGUGUGUUACUCAGGUGAGCGACAUAGGGCCAUCUUGGCCCUCUUGUAUGUAUAUAUUAGCUGUUACACCAAGAUUCUACUUUCUGACCUACUGAGAAACAUUCUUGCUGUCCUAUCCUCUCCCCUACUUCCCCCUACCCUCCCUAAAAAGUAGACCUACCUAUCCUAUCUGCAAUACUGGAGAGGUUGCCCUAAAGGAAUAAUAUAUUUUUAGGCCUGUUUUGUUGGGGAUUUUCGGUGGAAAAUAGAUUAACACUAACCUCGUGUUUAAGACGGACUGGAUACAGGAAAUGUCCGAAAGCACAGAUCCAGUUCGCAAACUUGAAGUUUAGACUACUGUAUUAGUGCCAAGAUAUAACUAUAAAAUGAAAAGAUGAGUUAGAUCGCCAAAAUGUAGUAAUAGCGGAAGCAAGAUUUUGGCUAAGAAAUGACCUUUCUUUCAAAUUGAAGUUUGGUUAUAUUAUGAACAUUUGAAUAAAAGUUUUUUUCUGAA